Cygnus olor (mute swan) is the source of this 1267-nucleotide long non-coding RNA. RefSeq lists it as uncharacterized. Lineage: Eukaryota; Metazoa; Chordata; Aves; Anseriformes; Anatidae. The transcript has 2 exons. The record is from RefSeq and is a predicted model, not a curated record.
AUUUUUACUUGUUUAUCUAAAGUAAAACAUUCACUGCUCUGCUGAAAGAAAAAUGAGAGAAAUGAUGAGUUGAAAGCAUCGAGCAGUCCUGCCAGCUCUCAGCAGCGUCUAGGGUCUUCAUGUAGCAGUGAAAUACUGAGUGCUAGAAGAGGAUAAUCAGUUUUAUGCAUUUUUAAAUUAAUACGAAAUGCUACUCUCCCACUUUUGCUGCACAGCCUGGGUUUUAGAAUGUCAAGAAACUAUUUGACAUUUACAAGAGACUGCAGGCACUAAUACAAAUCAUUUCUACCCAUUUAUCCAUUUUAACCACCAUGCUGAGUGAAUUGUUGGCUCUGUGCAAUUAGUCUCUGUGCUCUGACAAUAUAGCCACAGAUUAUCAGGAAUUCUAUUAAUAACGCAAGGUGGAAGCUCUGUUCUCCAAGCCUGUUAUUUUACUUCUAGAAAAAAAAAAAUCUCAUUUCUUAUAAAUCCGAUAUAAAUAGGCCAGCUGACAAGUAUCCCAAAAGAACAGAAUAUGCUCGGAAUAGUGAGAUUUGAACUGACGUAUGUUUGGCCAAAAAAAAAGUUAUCCAGGCUGUAUUUGUCUGAAAGUUUAAAAAUAGGAGCUUUUGUCAUCUGUGGCAGGAGAGGCCAGGUUGAGUCAUGAUUGAUGUCACUCGAAAGAACACUUUAAGCUUAGAAAAUGACAUCAGAAUCAUCAGAAUUUAGGGAGAUUUAGAGCGUUCCCUCAAGCCAGGGUGCUGGGGAUUCUGGAAGAGACUUUGUGGAUGAUACACAGCGUGCUGCCAGACAUCAUCUGAAUGGCAGCCAGGAGCCACGGUGCUUUCAGAUUACAUUUAUAAACGAUCGGAGUGCUGAGCACUUGCAAGUGCAGGCUGGAGGAGCAGGAGCUGUGCGUGGCUGCACGCGCUGCCCUGCCACGGGUGCCACGGAUCCAGGCACCAUGCAUCACAACCAGGCACUCAAGGAAACCCGAGGCAGAGAUUGCAAAGAUAAACCUUCACCAGCUUGAUUUAUAUGGCUGGAGAACAGCUUGUAGGGGCCUGUCCUUCCUAAACUUGUCCUUCCUUGCACCUAAAACAAGAACGGAGAAUUUGAAGCUGACAGACACGGUGUUUGUGAACGACGCUGAGUUGAAGAUGCUUCUGCGGGUCUGAGGAUUAGUAAUGCUGUCUGUCCAUGACCCCUCGUGCUUUUUUAACCUUUUAAAUGGAGAUACCAUAUCACAGCCCAGUCACUAAAGGUCAUCAAUAAAGCAAUAUUGUGA